This 5177-nucleotide long non-coding RNA is filed under the name Triticum aestivum (bread wheat). RNAcentral describes it as "long non-coding RNA (TAES_LNC025790)". Lineage: Eukaryota; Viridiplantae; Streptophyta; Magnoliopsida; Poales; Poaceae. The record is from RNAcentral.
UUCUCGAAUUCAAGGCAAACACAUUUUGCAACAAAGUUCCUGUCGAACAAAUCUUUGUAAUGUAUUAAUACAUAAAUUGUUUUACAAAAUAAAGAACCCUACAGCACUCCCAAGCUACAGCUAAAAACAGAUGGAGGAAAUGAUUGGUCUGAAUCAUUUUACACACAAGAGUAGUAAACAGCAAGAGAGAAUAGAAUCACAACACUCUCUCAAACAACAAAUAUACGUAGUACACAUGCUAUCAAGCUCAUGGCUCAAGGCCAGUAAUGCCGGCAUGGCAUCAUAACCGGACCUUUGUGUUUGCCUCAAUCACAGCAAAUACCUCGGUUACUGGUCGUGCAAAUGGGCAUUCCUCAUCAAACCUUCCUAACCUGAAUAUUGUGGGUGGACUGCGACCUCCAGAUGGGUUGUCUGCCACUCUGAACGAGUGCAACCUCCUCACCUUCCUUCACCAUACCAUGCUUCUGUGAAAUGUAGCAUAUCAUGUUAGACGACAUAUUCUCAUGUUAUAAUAAAAAGAAAUGGCACCAAAACGUAUGUGGAAAUGGAAUAGUGUGAACAUGCAUGUUGCCGCGAAAAUCAUGUAACUUCUCCAGCUAAUUUCCCCGCCCUUCUAAUUAAGCACACAGAUCAAGGUCACAUGCGCUUACUUGUUUAGUUUUACUAUUUCUUAAAGAAGCUUCAGGACGAUUCUAGAUUUAAUAUGCUGCCGAGUACCACGUAUUUCCCUAUUUCCUAUAUGCAUUUAUGUCCGUUUGAUUUGAAAUCAGACGGUGCAGAGAGAAAAAAGAUGAAUGUUAUGCACCCGGCUUUCAGUAUAGAUCAAAGUUGGGAACGUAAUGGCUUUACCAUGAUACUCCCUCUGUCCCAAAAUAAGUGUCUCAACUUUGUUCUAACUUUAGUACAAAGUUGUGCUAAGCUUGAGACAUUUAUUUUGGGACGGAGGGAAUAUAUGUUUGGGAGCAACGAAUGCAGUUAGUAGCUGCAGUUUGCGGGCCAAAGUAUGUGAACACGCUAAAUUUUUGCACAUUUCAUAACUGAAGAACAAUAUUUUAGUGGACAGUGCGAUAUCACAUGUAUUAGCCCCAGAAACUUGCCAAAAGAAGAAUGCAUCAUCAUCAUUUGUGACCACAAUCGAGUGAAUUGUCCGUCCCUGUAAAAGGCCCAUUUUGUCUUCCAUAAGGUCAAUAUAUUUCCUAGUCUGUUAAUUGUUAUGGUUCUACACCUAUUUUGCGCAGAAAGUAGUUCCAAUUCCACGAUCAUAUAUUUAGCAUCAACUUGUUUAUAGAGCACCGAUUUAGUUAGCGUUUGGUAGAUCAUGCCUCAGGAAUGUGUUCUGCAACUUUUUGCGGGGCAUUUCAGGUUUGCGAAUAUCAUGAGCACCCGAUGAGUAGGAACAUCUGAUACAUCCUCUAUACCCACGCUCCAAAAAGCCUUCCAAGUUUCGAAGGCAAUAUAGCCUAACUAAUUUCAACACUUAGUGCAGGCUCUUUUAGGGUAUUUUAACGGUUUCAUCAUGUACUGCAACCACAAUGGUAGAUACGUAAGCUAAUGCCAGCAAAAAAAAUACUAGAAGGGAUGGGGUAUGUCAGUGAUUACCAGCAAGUAAGAUAAAGCAUCAGCAAAUGUCUUCUCAGCACAAUCAGAAAAUUCCAUGUGAACUGGACAUACACCUUGGUACAAAGCCAGUCGUUGUCUAACUAUCUCCCUAUAAACAGUAACCAACAUCAAUAACACUAAGAAAUACUUUUAAAAAGAAAAUAUGAACAAAGGGGCAACAAUAUUAUGCUUCCAGAAAUAAUAGAUCCAAUCUUCAGAUCAGUUCUCCCACAACAGUAGGAUAAAAAGCAUGUACCGCCACAACAUUAUCUAAAUUCAGUUUCAUUAGUGAUAACCUCUUCUCCUAGGAUAUACUAGUUUCAAUAAUCAAAUAACUUGCAUGAGGCAAAUAGUUCCUAGGAAUGACUUCAUGCACAUGUUAGGGAUACGGUGUUCACCAAGUAGAAAAGCACAGCUGGUUUUCAGCCCACGUAUGUUGGUGAAUAAGCAGCUAAGCGCAUCAUUUGCUAUUGCUUGUCAAGGUUAUCAUUAUGACUGGAUGACAAGGCAAGAAAAUGUAUUGGUAAUUAAUGUAUUGCACAUGAUUAACAUUGAAUAUCUUAGCAGCAUCGGUGAUUUUGUUUCUUAACAUGUUAAGAUAGGAAUUUCAUUUUAUUGAUGACAUAACAUUGGAGCAAAAGCAGAGAAAUCUUACUGAUCUGUGAAGGCAAAUAUGGUGCCAGAUGGCCGGUAAUGGCUAAGUAGGAUAGACAUAAAUCCCGUCCUUGUGAAAACCACAAUUGAUGUACCAAGUGUAUUGGACAUCAUUGUUGAAUGGUAGGCAAACAUUUCGCUCAUGUGGUUCUACAGGGAAGAAAGUAAAUAGGAAAGAUAAAAACUGGGUUAAAGUGAAGAAAAAGACAUGCAGUGUCAGUUGGGAUAUUGCAGUUCAGACCUUGAACACCUGACCAAGGUUAGACGGUGUUUCCCCGCCAAUAAUAGUUGCUUCAGUUCUUAGUGCAACAGUAUGCAUGACCUUGACAGCUUUCAAGGGAAAUCUGUCCGGCAUCAAGUGGUAAAGCUUAGUCAUGUAUCCAUCUUAAAUGCACGUCAUAAAUAGCAAGCAUCUUUUAAACAAACCAAAAGGGCAACAAAAAGAGUGCAACUAAACAUCAACAUGCCCACUCCUUUAUUCAUGAUCUAUUACAACAAAAUCGAGCAAUCCAUGAUCCAUGUGGCAGUUCAGUAAGUCUAACACAACAAAAACGUUCGAAAUGAGCUAACUUAGAUGGAAACCAAAACAACAUGAUACCACAAAUUCAGAGCAGACAUAUUGAAAGUAGAGUUAGAUAUCAUAGUUUACUCAGGAUAAAUAAUAGGACAAGAGCAAAAUCACCAACAAUUACAAAUAACAGCUUAUAGCUGAUGAACACACAUUAGUAGUCCUAACAAUUUCUGGAACAUUUAAAGAAUACAAUCACAAAAAUAACAUCCUAUAGUACUGCAGAAAUAUUACUUAGUAAUAAAAUCAGCUGGCUUUUGUUAGUUAAAUUAUUAACAAUAGACUGUGGGUGCACAUAUAGUUUGCUGGGAAUAUAUAAACAAUAUUUUGUUAUGCAUAAGAAAACAAAAACACAUACUUUCCAUGUGCAGUUUCCCCAGAAAGCAUAACUGCAUCAGCACCUUCCCGAACAGCUAUAGCAAUGUCUGAAACUUCUGCACGGGUUGGAGUUGGAUGAACGAUCAUGCUUUCCAGCAUAUUAGUGGCGACAAUGACAGCUUUUCCCAUGCUUCUGCACAUUCUAAUAAUUUCUUCCUGCAUCGGGACAUGAAAUUCUAACCAUAUCAUGUAUAUCCUAUAUCGAAUCAACUAAUGGAAGCACAGAAAGUUCAGUGCCAGGUUUCAAAUUGGAUAGCUACCUAGAUGUAUAUACAAACAAGUGCAAAGCGGCCCUCAGUUAAUAAUUAUUUCCUUCCAAGCGUAAAUUGUGUAGUUGAUAUUGUACAGAGCACAACCAAGUUUGUAGCUUUUCGCUUAAACAAAUAACUAAGCAGGGAAGUGGGCAUUUAGUGCAAUGGACUUGUUGACAGUGCGCAAUAAACUAGAUCAUACCUGCAGCAAUGGUACCUCCUCGAUAGGAAGUUCAGCCCCCAAAUCACCCCUGGCAACCAUAGCCUACAGAACUCGACAAUUUAUACAUCAGUACUUCAAAACUAAAAUCAACAAUGACACACUCUGUAGAAAAAGAUUAAAUAGAGAAGAAGCCCUUUUCAUGAUGCCCAUACAACUUAAGAUCUUUCAUGGUUAAGAUAUAUUUUAUAGUGCAUCUUGCUAAACUCAAGAAACAAUGAAUAUCAACCUCUUACCCCAUCAGAUGCUGUAAUGAUUGAAUGUAAGUUUGGAAUAGAAUCUGCACUUUCAAUUUUCACAAUUACGUGUAUAUCCGCAUUCGAGCCUGAGUCAAAAUAAAAAGGAAACAUGGUCAAGACAUACUCAAAACGACGCCCACGCUGUUUAUAAAGUCCGGAAUAAUUAUUACUUCUGAGAUAAUCCUUCAAUUCAUGCACAACUUGAGCAUCUUUGACGAAAGAAACAGCAUAGUAGUCAACCUGAUUUUCCACCCCAAACUUAAUAUCAUCCCAGUCCUUAUCUGAAAGUUUGGAAAGUGUGCAUGAGACAAGAGCAUAUUUAUUAUUCAAUGAAACAUAUGAUGACUAUUACCGGUGAUUGAUGGCAAGGUUGCGCUCUUGCCACGGACAUUCAGGUGACGCCUGGAUUUUAAUUCACCUCCAUCAAUAACUUCACAUUUUACAGAAUCUUCGGUUUUUGAUUUGACCAGAAAUGACAUCAUUCCUCCUAAAUAACCAAUAGAAUGAUCAUUAAACACAACAUAAAUCACUUUAAUGUCAAAGUUACGUAAUCAAAAAAUAUAAUCAUCCUUACAAGCAUAAAAAAAUACAGAGAACAAAGGUAGAAGGAUGUUAGAUGGGUAUCUGAUGUUCUAAUUCAAUUGUUAAUCAGUUGUGCACACUAAGCAAGACCACCUGCAAAUAAAAGUGCUGGUAAACUCCAUCUCAGAAAGCUGACUCAAGUACCAAAAGACAAAAACAGAUGUAGGUGUUAAUGCUCUCAAAACUGCAGGGUAAUGUUGAAAACACUGUGUCUCCACAUGCAUAAACGAUUGAUGCAUCAUGACUCCAUGCUAGUAGGCAGUAGUUAGCCACACAAUGUGUUCCAGGAAAGCAAUAAAAUUAAGUGUCAGCAGAGAAAACAUAGAAUAUCAUUACGAUGGACAAAACCAGAAGAUUUUAAACAACAUGUGACAGCUUAGCUUAGCCAUGUUAACAAAGACCAGCUCUUCAUGAGCCUAUCCAAUUCACUAUAUACAGUUAUGUGCCGCAAUACAAAUUUAUUCAAUCACUAGCUAAAAGUAAGUGUUAGACUAUUUCAGAUAAACUGAUUUGCUGCAUCCGCACAUUCUGUAAACAAUCAUGUGUCACCAAUAAAGAUCAAAUAAUCAAAUACCAGAACAGGAAUAGAACGUGCACAUACCAUCCACAAGGAGCAUGUCACCGGCUUCUACAUCAUUAACAAAGUCAUCAUAGUUAACACUAACACAUGUCUCAGUCCCAACCCC